GCCCGGAUGGCGGAAUUGGCAGACGCGUCGGACUCAAAAUCCGAUUCUUGUACUAGAGUGAGGGUUCGACCCCCUCUCCGGGCACCA
This 87-nucleotide transfer RNA is filed under the name Opitutales bacterium. RNAcentral's name for it is "tRNA-Leu". It matches the Rfam family "tRNA". From Rfam's summary of the family: Transfer RNA (tRNA) molecules are approximately 80 nucleotides in length. The record is from RNAcentral. Lineage: Bacteria; Pseudomonadati; Verrucomicrobiota; Opitutia; Opitutales.